UACAGAGGUCUCGAGCGUUAGGCGGAAUCACUGGGCUUAAAGCGUGUGUAGGCGGAUCGUUAAGUGCCUUGUGAAAUCCCACGGCUCAACCGUGGAACUGCUUGGCAUACUGGCGGUCUUGAGCAACCUAGGGGCGAGCGGAACAAAUGGUGGAGCGGUGAAAUGCGUAGAUAUCAUUUGGAACGCCAAUGGUGAAAACAGCUCGCUGGGGGUUUGCUGACGCUGAGACACGAAAGCCAGGGGAGCAAACGAG
This 253-nucleotide ribosomal RNA is filed under the name uncultured bacterium. RNAcentral describes it as "partial 16S ribosomal RNA". It matches the Rfam family "Bacterial small subunit ribosomal RNA", at positions 524 to 776 of the family's 1533-position model. The record is from RNAcentral.